AGUGAACGCUGGCGGCAGGCCUAGCACAUGCAAGUCGAGCGGCAGCGCGUCCGACCACCCUCGGGUGGUCGGAUGGCGGCGAGCGGCGGACGGGUGAGGAAUGCAUCGGAAUCUGCCUCGUUGUGGGGGGAUAACGUAGGGAAACUUACGCUAAUACCGCAUACGACCUACGGGUGAAAGUGGGGGACCUUCGGGCCUCACGCGAUGAGAUGAGCCGAUGCCGGAUUAGCUAGUUGGCGGGGUAAAGGCCCACCAAGGCGACGAUCCGUAGCUGGUCUGAGAGGAUGAUCAGCCACACUGGAACUGAGACACGGUCCAGACUCCUACGGGAGGCAGCAGUGGGGAAUAUUGGACAAUGGGGGCAACCCUGAUCCAGCCAUGCCGCGUGUGUGAAGAAGGCCU
This 402-nucleotide ribosomal RNA is filed under the name uncultured bacterium. Its description in RNAcentral is "bacterial SSU rRNA". It matches the Rfam family "Bacterial small subunit ribosomal RNA", at positions 30 to 417 of the family's 1533-position model. The record is from RNAcentral.